RNAcentral lists this non-coding RNA (171 nucleotides) under uncultured Thiogranum sp. RNAcentral's name for it is "6S / SsrS RNA". It matches the Rfam family "6S / SsrS RNA". Rfam says of the family: E. coli 6S RNA was the first non coding RNA to be sequenced, but its function was unknown until recently. It consists of 184 nucleotides that fold into an extended hairpin structure with a large single-stranded internal bulge. The 6S RNA specifically associates with RNA polymerase holoenzyme containing the sigma70 specificity factor. Lineage: Bacteria; Pseudomonadati; Pseudomonadota; Gammaproteobacteria; Chromatiales; Ectothiorhodospiraceae. The record is from RNAcentral.
UUCUGCGGUGCUCGUUAGCGGUUAAGAUCUCCUUGAGCCUAAUAUGUAGCCGGGGAGUUGGCUUGUCAGGCCAGUGAGCAUGUCCGCCACGUGUGGAAAGCCUUAGGUCUGACACUCGCUCCCACUUGAACCUCCGGUUCAAGGGCAACAACUGCGACGGUACCUGCGGAA